Molecule: long non-coding RNA, 948 nt
Organism: Mastomys coucha (southern multimammate mouse)
Lineage: Eukaryota; Metazoa; Chordata; Mammalia; Rodentia; Muridae
Exons: 3
Source: RefSeq, a predicted model, not a curated record
UUUCUCAUCAUAAUUCAAUAAAACUUAAAAAAAAGAAAGAAAGAAAAUAGAUUUAAAAAAAAGAGAGAGUGCUGAGCCAUGGUGUUUCCUAAGGGGCUAUUAAGCCAAACCACAGAUAUUUCAAACACUUCCCAGCAUAAUGAACAGCACUAAUUAUGGAUCUGUUUCUACCUCUGCUUUUCAGGAUAAUGGGGUCCUAUUUCAAUUCCUUAUGCAGUAAGAGAUCCGACAGAAAGCAGACCUGAUCCCUUACUUGAAAUGCAAUCCCUAAGGAUUAUAGAUUUAUUAAUCUAUUUAUUUAUAUUAUUAUAUAAAAUUAAAUGCCAGAGAAUAGUGGAUUUCAAUAUUGCUUUGCCAGAGUUCGUCCAUUACCCACACUGCAGAAACUGCUAAAAGGACCAGGGGCAUUUAUAGAUCCUGACUAGCAGUAGAAGCCUGGACGAAAGAAGUUUAAGGAUCUUUCUUACAAAGAGAAAGGGUCUCUACAGGACCAGCACCUUCAAGAAAAUAAGUGUUUGUGUGCCUUUAACGAUAAGCCUCACAAGAAUUCGGAAUGGGGGUCGCAAUAAGGCCGUGAGCAAGCAUGGGACAUUUCAUAAGCUCAGGUCGCUAGUGUGCUGAAAGGUGGCUUGCGGUGCCAGUGGAGGGGCUUACUAAGUUGCUUACAUUGGCUUAGAACUUGUGGUUAUCCUGCUUCAGCCUCCCCGGUAGACAAAAUUACAGUGGGCUGAAUCAGACCUUGCUUUGCCACAGCUGGUAGCCCACCUAGGGUAGAGUCUAUUGUCCUGCUACACCUGCAGCUUCCUGAAAGGAGCCACCACCUGCUGAGCAGCUGAGCUUGCUUUCCUGAGGAGAUCCUGGCAAAGCAAAGAGAUCCUGGAAAUGUGGGGGAUGGGUUCCCCCUUUUUAUAUUCAGAACCCAGGAUUAAAGAUUGAGCCUUGAUCAGA